Molecule: long non-coding RNA, 504 nt
Filed under: Homo sapiens (human)
Lineage: Eukaryota; Metazoa; Chordata; Mammalia; Primates; Hominidae
Description: non-protein coding lnc-MDM4-5:1
Source: RNAcentral
GUUUCUCUCUCAGAUGCCAGGGCCAUGAGGCAAGUCCAGCCUUGGCCUAGAACCAAAGAUGGAAACAAAAAGGGGCCAGACUGUGUUGCCUUCUUGAGCCUGGUCUGACUCCUGAGUGGAAGUCUGAUUCCAGGUACAUGAGAUAAGCACUAAUACCUCCAGUUUGCAGAUUAAGAGACUGAGGUCCUGAAGAGGUUAAAGAACUUGGCUCAAGUCACAUAGCUGGUGAGCAGCAAGAUACAAGAAUCAACCCAAGUCCAGGGGGCUGUGUGCCGUUUACACUUCACAUCUGUGCUGCCAGGUCUGUCUGAUCUGACCCUGCCCUGGGCCUCUGGAGGGUCUGGGAUGCACUGAAUGCUGCAGCUGCAGGCCCUGUGCCUGUUCUCGUCCCCUGGGGUGAUGACUCCUUACCAGGCAGCUGCAGAAAGCUUGGAGCUAUGUCUCCUGCCACCAUCCAGGCAGGUGCCUCUCAGCGGGCCAGAGGGGCUCUUCACCUCCCUCAUC